RNAcentral lists this ribosomal RNA (301 nucleotides) under uncultured bacterium. RNAcentral's name for it is "partial 16S ribosomal RNA". It matches the Rfam family "Bacterial small subunit ribosomal RNA", at positions 509 to 809 of the family's 1533-position model. The record is from RNAcentral.
CAGCAGCCGCGGUAAUACAGAGGGUGCGAGCGUUAAUCGGAUUUACUGGGCGUAAAGCGUGUGUAGGUUGUUGUUCAAGUCAGUUGUGAAAUCCCUGAGCUUAACUUAGGAAUUGCAUUCGAUACUGGGAAGCUAGAGUAUGGGAGAGGAUGGUAGAAUUCCAGGUGUAGCGGUGAAAUGCGUAGAGAUCUGGAGGAAUACCGAUGGCGAAGGCAGCCAUCUGGCCUAAUACUGACGCUGAGGUACGAAAGCAUGGGGAGCAAACAGGAUUAGAGACCCCUGUAGUCCCUGUCUCUUAUAA